CUCUCUCCUUCCUUCUACAUUAACUUCUUCUUACUAUUCCCUUUUUUGUCUCCACUUUUGUCUACUCUGUUCUCCCAUUUCCUUUCUUCCCCCUUUUUCAAGGCCUGGUUGCCAGAGUCUCUCGGGAGGCAGUCCUGAAGGGUAAAGCAGUCCAGGAAGGCUGGGCAUUCUUCAGGAAGGAAAUCAGUUUCUGGAGUGCUGAAGCAGACCUUGCAUUGGGACCAUUACUUGCUAUGAAGGUAAAGAAACUGGGGCAAGAGUCUCAUGUGGGGUGACUGGAAGUGAAACUGCUGCUUAGAAGGAGUCAGAACAUACCUGACCAUCAUCAGUGUCCUUUACAAAAAACAGAGGCCAAGAGAGCUGUCAUUCAAAAAAUGAAUGGAAGGAGAAGUCAAGGACCAUCUCUUGAAUAAUUUGAUCUCCUCCUCUACUUGAAAGAAGGAAGCAGUGACACCAAGUAGUACACCUGUCAAAUUGUCCAAAGAGCAGAAGAUGGAUCAAAUUCCUCUUUUCCCAUGAAAACAGAAUUAUUUUGAAGCCUCAAAUGCAAAACCCAGGACUAUGCACCCCAAAAAGCCCCACUAUGCAAACAGGGUAGCAUAGUGUGUAGGGUGCUCACCUGAAGAGGAAAGUUUGGUUCUACAUAACUCAGUGUUAGUAGUCUGCUAAUUGAAAAAUAGAACGAAUAUUAUUUAUUGGCU
Long non-coding RNA from Vidua chalybeata, 701 nucleotides. RefSeq lists it as uncharacterized. The transcript is spliced from 3 exons. The record is from RefSeq and is a predicted model, not a curated record. Lineage: Eukaryota; Metazoa; Chordata; Aves; Passeriformes; Viduidae.